UUCUGGUUUUUUUUUUUUGUUGCUGGUUAAUUUUUAAAUAACAUUUUAAAAAAGCUUUGAGCGUGCCAUGUCAUAAAAAUGCACGUCAUGCUCGUAUAAAUUCUGUGGGCGAACAGAACGUAACCCAACCCGUACAGCAUCUGCUGCAGAUAAGACUAAAGCUAUUGAGUGGCAUGGGUACGGGUAAUACCCUAGUGUAUCAAAAUAAAGAGAGUGCGUAUAAAAUAUAUAUAUAUAAACAAUUUAUUUUAUAAAAGCCUUUUACAGCCUUUCAGAGGCUUUAUUAAAAAGAAAAUUUGUUUGAAAAUUUGUUUGUCAGAUAAUUCUCUGAAAUUUCUACAAAAAUAAUAGUCUCUUGAUUCGAAUGUGUAGAGCAUAUCCCAUGGAUCUAGGGCUGUUGACAACUGAUAAGCGAAAGCUGUAACCAUUGGACGAUGAUACAGUCCGCAAACAGGGGGCGAAAAAUCGAGACAUCAGAGAACCGGAGAGAGAGAUGAUCCAUUGUGAGAUGCGGGAACCAGAGACCAGAGAUAAUACACCGAAGCUUUUGUUUUUUUUAUGAACUCUUAAUCAGUAACAACCUGAUAUAGUACAUAUAUUUAAUACCCGACACAUCGUUCGACAUUGUCAAUGAAAUAAUAUUUUCAUUGAUGUUAGGCCUGCUAAUGAAAAUCCAAUUUUGAACGGAAGUAUCCCACCCAGUUACCGACACAGAUGGCUGGAAAUCAAAGUGCAAACUACAUUCUCAAACAACUAAUUGGAUUAACUUGACAACAAAAAAGGCGAACGAACGAGUUGGAGAAGGAGUUCGAGGCAGCCAGAAUGUCACCAGAAUUGAAGGAAAGGAAACUUUGUCUUUGGGAAACUCCUCGGAAAAACCACAUGAGCUUUUUCGUCACAUGUCUGAAGCGACACAUGAGUGUAGAAGAGACGACGACUCUUCUGUCACUGUUCUGUUGAGCUCGUUUCUGGUUCAAACCUAAAAACUGCAAAAUGUACAGAAAAUUUAAUUAAAAAAGGAUUUUCGGCCUGGCCUGGCCUGGCCUGGCUUGGAAAAGUUGCUUGGCUUCGCUGA
Long non-coding RNA from Drosophila ananassae, 1075 nucleotides. RefSeq lists it as uncharacterized. NCBI's taxonomy places the organism in Eukaryota, Metazoa, Arthropoda, Insecta, Diptera, Drosophilidae. The record is from RefSeq and is a predicted model, not a curated record. The transcript has 2 exons.